This 550-nucleotide ribosomal RNA is filed under the name uncultured Glomeromycotina. RNAcentral's name for it is "SSU rRNA". It matches the Rfam family "Eukaryotic small subunit ribosomal RNA", at positions 548 to 1098 of the family's 1831-position model. Lineage: Eukaryota; Fungi; Glomeromycota. The record is from RNAcentral.
UUGGAGGGCAAGUCUGGUGCCAGCAGCCGCGGUAAUUCCAGCUCCAAUAGCGUAUAUUAAAGUUGUUGCAGUUAAAAAGCUCGUAGUUGAGUUUCGGGAUCAAUACGUCGGUCAUGCUUUUUGGUACGAACUGGCGUCAUUGGUUUCUCCUUUCUGACGAACCAUGAUGUCAUUAAUUUGGUGUUAUGGGGAGUUGGGACUGUUACUUUGAAAAAAUUAGAGUGUUUAAAGCAGGCAUAAGCUUGAAUACAUUAGCAUGGAAUAAUGAAAUAGGACGUUCGAUCCUAUUUUGUUGGUUUCUAGGAUCAACGUAAUGAUUAAUAGGGAUAGUUGGGGGCAUUAGUAUUCAAUUGUCAGAGGUGAAAUUCUUGGAUUUAUUGAAGACUAACUACUGCGAAAGCAUUUGCCAAGGAUGUUUUCAUUAAUCAAGAACGAAAGUUAGGGGAUCGAAGACGAUCAGAUACCGUCGUAGUCUUAACCAUAAACUAUGCCGACUAGGGAUCGGAUGAUGUUAAUUUUUUAAUGACUCAUUCGGCGCCUUACGGGAAAC